Molecule: ribosomal RNA, 792 nt
Filed under: Shigella sonnei
Lineage: Bacteria; Pseudomonadati; Pseudomonadota; Gammaproteobacteria; Enterobacterales; Enterobacteriaceae
Description: partial 23S ribosomal RNA
Rfam family: Bacterial large subunit ribosomal RNA
Source: RNAcentral
CAGUUGAAAAUGGAGGGGAUGAGCUGUGGGUAGGGGUGAAAGGCCAAUCAAACUUCGUGAUAGCUGGUUCUCCCCGAAAUGCAUUUAGGUGCAGCGUUACGUGUUUCUUGCCGGAGGUAGAGCUACUGGAUGGCCGAUGGGCCCUACAAGGUUACUGACGUCAGCCAAACUCCGAAUGCCGGUAAGUGAGAGCGUAGCAGUGAGACUGUGGGGGAUAAGCUUCAUAGUCGAGAGGGAAACAGCCCAGACCACCAACUAAGGCCCCUAAGCGUGUGCUAAGUGGGAAAGGAUGUGGAGUUGCUUAGACAACCAGGAGGUUGGCUUAGAAGCAGCCACCCUUGAAAGAGUGCGUAAUAGCUCACUGGUCAAGUGAUUCCGCGCCGACAAUGUAGCGGGGCUCAAGUACACCGCCGAAGUUGUGGCAUUGCACCAAUGAUACCCAACCGGUCCUAGAGGCCGGUUCAGGUGGUGCGAUGGGUAGGGGAGCGUCGUGUGGGCAGUGAAGCUGCGGGGUGACCCAGUGGUGGAGCCCACACGAGUGAGAAUGCAGGCAUGAGUAGCGAAUGACGGGUGAGAAACCCGUCCGCCGGAUGAUCAAGGGUUCCAGGGUCAAGCUAAUCUGCCCUGGGUCAGUCGGGACCUAAGGCGAGGCCGACAGGCGUAGUCGAUGGACAACGGGUUGAUAUUCCCGUACCGGCGAAGAACCGCCCCUAUCGAACCGGGGACACUAACCACCCGAACCGGGCCAUGCGGUGACCAUUGGUCGCCGCCGGCACCGGGGAGCGUGGGACC